This is a long non-coding RNA of Mastomys coucha (southern multimammate mouse), 748 nucleotides long. RefSeq lists it as uncharacterized. The transcript has 6 exons. NCBI's taxonomy places the organism in Eukaryota, Metazoa, Chordata, Mammalia, Rodentia, Muridae. The record is from RefSeq and is a predicted model, not a curated record.
AGAGAGAUGGGGCAUUUAGGAUGGAGUGUUCCAAGCCUGCAGAACUGGAUGCAUAACUCCUACUUACUUCUUCAGCAACACAUCAACCUGUGUGCCACCAUGCUUCUUGGCCAUGUUGAUAAUGGACUAACCUUCGAAACUGAUAUUGUGUGAUACUUUAAUAUACAAGUACAAUGCUGAUGUCUAAAUCAGUGUUAACAUGGUGGGAGGUGUUCUGUACCGAAGGAAGGGAAGUGAAAGCUGAUUGUGUGCUGCUGGAUGAUGGCACAGCACCAUUAAUAGAAGGGGAAGAAGGAGCAUGCCAACUCAAUGAAAGGAAACACCUGUGCAACAAAUCAAGACAUGGCUGCCCCAUGCCUACAAGUCCAGUAGUUGUGAGAUGAGGUGUCAAGAACAAAUUAAAUUUUCAUAAUUUCUCAUAGUGAAUGAUUCCCCCCCCACUUUGUGAAGAAAGAGGGAUUAUAGUUUGAGUAGCAGGAAAAAAAAAACACAGGGAAAAGCCAGAGAAGUUGAAAACUCCUACUUUGUUGCACCUAUCUAUCAAGAUAAAACAUUGCUGGAUGGUGAAAUGAAUAAUCACACAACAAAGAGAACACCUUACUAUGAAGCUAAUGAAGUGGGAAGAAAAUACCUAUGUAGUCUUGAGGAAUGCCGGAAGACAGAUUACAAUGACCUUAUUUCUGAGAAUGGUAAAGACUUUUGUUCUGAUUUGAAUAAAAAUGUAAUUCAGAUAUCGGAAGUGAAGAUG